This 68-nucleotide transfer RNA is filed under the name Spondylus violaceus. RNAcentral's name for it is "tRNA-His". The record is from RNAcentral. Lineage: Eukaryota; Metazoa; Mollusca; Bivalvia; Pectinida; Spondylidae.
GUCUUUCUGGUGUAAGUUAGCAUGGCUGGUUGUGGCCCUUCAGGAGAAGUAGAAGUCUUCGAAAGGCC